UNUCAUUUUGUCUUCAUUGCCAAUUGCAGC
Molecule: non-coding RNA, 30 nt
Filed under: Mus musculus (house mouse)
Lineage: Eukaryota; Metazoa; Chordata; Mammalia; Rodentia; Muridae
Source: RNAcentral